UUGCUCGAGUGGCGAACGGGUGAGUAACACGUGAGUAACCUGCCCUUGACUUUGGGAUAACUUCAGGAAACUGGGGCUAAUACCGGAUAGGAGCUCCUGCUGCAUGGUGGGGGUUGGAAAGUUUCGGCGGUUGGGGAUGGACUCGCGGCUUAUCAGCUUGUUGGUGGGGUAGUGGCUUACCAAGGCUUUGACGGGUAGCCGGCCUGAGAGGGUGACCGGCCACAUUGGGACUGAUAUACGGCCCAG
Molecule: ribosomal RNA, 246 nt
Filed under: uncultured Actinomycetales bacterium
Lineage: Bacteria; Bacillati; Actinomycetota; Actinomycetes; Actinomycetales
Description: partial 16S ribosomal RNA
Rfam family: Bacterial small subunit ribosomal RNA
Source: RNAcentral